Molecule: long non-coding RNA, 776 nt
Organism: Juglans regia (Persian walnut)
Lineage: Eukaryota; Viridiplantae; Streptophyta; Magnoliopsida; Fagales; Juglandaceae
Exons: 3
Source: RefSeq, a predicted model, not a curated record
GCCAAGUGAGCUUUCCUUCUCUCUUGCACGUCGGCUUCCUCAGCAAGCUAAUUGGACUCUUCUUCCUUCUCCUACACGCUGAUUCCAAGGGACAAGAAAACAAAAAACAAUUUCCUCUUCUACUCUUACACCCAUCGACAGCUUCUAGAGCAAGUGAUUUCCCUUCUCCUUCUCAUUCACCCAUCGGUCCUAAGGCAAGCAAAGAGAGAAAAGAUCUCCUAAAGUCUCCUUCAUUCACACGAGAGGCUCUCGGUUUCCCUCUAGUCCACGCGACCUCUUCUUCUCCUCAAGCCGAUUCUUCCAUUUCGUAAACCUAAGAGUUUCCGUCGAAAAUCUCCAAGGGAAAAUCAACCUCCUUUGAGAGUUCGGAUUUUCUCUUCCCUUUCUCAUCUGCUGUGUAUUCCGUGGCUUAAAAAGGGGAUCAAAUCAGGUAUGAAUGAUGGGACUGUGGAGCUGGGUACUGCUGAGGAGGGAAGGGCUGAUGCUUAGUAUUCCCUGUCGGUUCGGUUUAAUGAUGAUGGUUAUAUUUUAUGUUUUAUGAUGGGUCCCAUGUUGGGACGUUUUGUUGGUUGACUUUAAGACAAUAUGUCUUUGGCAUGAUGUAGAUAUUGUGGUAGUAUGAUGGUAAUAGUGUAACUUCUAUAGUGGGGUGAUGGUAACCCCACAUAUGAAGGUUAAACGUAUUUUGGAUAUGUUGUAGGGACGGAGUCCCCUUUUUAUUGGAACUAGUGAUGUUUUAAAUGAAUGAAUGGUGGACUCUGAGAGUCCUUUGGUAA